This is a non-coding RNA of Delphinapterus leucas (beluga whale), 428 nucleotides long. NCBI's taxonomy places the organism in Eukaryota, Metazoa, Chordata, Mammalia, Artiodactyla, Monodontidae. The record is from RefSeq and is a predicted model, not a curated record.
GGGCAGAGUGCCCAAGGCUGCACCAGGGCAAGGACGGGCGUCUGGCUCCCGGCCGGCCAGUAGGUGGGUUGCUGGACACCAGUUUAAAAGAAGAAAGAUUACUGACUCCAUCAAGUUGGCAUAACACAGCAACUGAAUAUACUUCCAGCAUUUACAGUCCUGCUGUAUUGGUCUCCAGGCUGGAAAUUUAUGCAGUGAACUUCUAGGGAAAUGCUGAAGCAAAUGCUAAACAAGAAGCUACUUUUUUCACUCUGAAGUUCUAGCUGCAGCCUUAAGAGAUCAGGAGAAAUGUAAAAAGUGAGAAAUAAAUCAGAAGUAAAGUUGGAACCGAGGCCAACUUCGGGCACGGUGACAGAAGGGCUCACCUUCAGAGCACGGAGCUGACCGAGUCAUGUUACAGCCACAAAGAGGCAGUUAGGACUCGUCCC